AACGCACGAGACCUGCGGACCUGCGGAAGGAUCAUUACUGAGAAAUUGCCCUUCGGGGUAGAUCUCCCACCCUAUGUUUACAUUACUUUUGUUGCUUUGGCAGGCCCGUCUUUGACCACUGGCUUCGGCUGGUCAGUGUCUGCCAGAGGACCCCUAAACUCUUGAUAUUUUGUUGUCUGAGUUAAAUAUAUAAUAGUUAAAACUUUUAACAACGGAUCUCU
This 221-nucleotide unclassified non-coding RNA is filed under the name soil metagenome. Its description in RNAcentral is "partial contains 5.8S ribosomal RNA, internal transcribed spacer 2, and large subunit ribosomal RNA". The record is from RNAcentral.